GAUCAUGGCUCGGGACGAACGCUGGCGGCGUGCUUAACACAUGCAAGUCGAACGAAGAGCGAUGGAAGCUUGCUUCUAUCAAUCUUAGUGGCGAACGGGUGAGUAACGCGUAAUCAACCUGCCCUUCAGAGGGGGACAACAGUUGGAAACGACUGCUAAUACCGCAUACGAUCUGACCUCGGCAUCGAGGAUAGAUGAAAGGUGGCCUCUAUUUAUAAGCUAUCACUGAAGG
This 232-nucleotide ribosomal RNA is filed under the name uncultured bacterium. Its description in RNAcentral is "partial 16S ribosomal RNA". It matches the Rfam family "Bacterial small subunit ribosomal RNA", at positions 15 to 224 of the family's 1533-position model. The record is from RNAcentral.